This is an RNA transcript of Phycodurus eques (leafy seadragon), 6044 nucleotides long. It is a transcript of the gene named B-cell receptor CD22-like, with no coding region annotated. The record is from RefSeq and is a predicted model, not a curated record. Lineage: Eukaryota; Metazoa; Chordata; Actinopteri; Syngnathiformes; Syngnathidae. The transcript has 14 exons.
AGACAUGUAAGUCAUCAGUUACAAAGACUGAAGACUGCUGAGGUUUGAGGUUGGAGCUUGGAGCUUAAAUAAAGUUUGCAGACCUUGCUGAUAAAAGUGGAAGAAUGAAGCAUCACACUUUGAUCUUCUUGCUGUUUGUGUGUCUAAUGACAGCUUUUCAGUGUUUAAACGGAGCCUUUGAGCUGACGAAUCCUCCGCCCGUCCAUUCAAGAGGGAUCCUGCGUGGAACUGACCGUCAGGUCUACACGUGAGCUCCCUGUGCAGCCUUUCUACUGGUUUUGGAUGAAAGACGCCGAUAUCAUUCUUAGUUCCGCCACGCAACUCCGGCCCGUCCACCCGGACUUUGAGGGCCGUGUGAAAUCUGCGGGCCCGCCGCCUUUACAGUGGCGCACUGCCGGAACGUCAAUGACCAUCUUGAUGUGCGACGUCAAGAAAAGUGACAGUGGCAAAUACAAGUUUGCAUUUGGGUUCACUGUGGGAGAGGACUUAGAAUUGGCAGAGGUUUCUACUAAUGUCACAGUGGAAGACAAUCCCUGCCCCAUUUAUAUAUCAACGGUUCCAGAAAACUUGAUGGACGAUAGGCACGUGCUCCUGUCCUGCACGACUUAUACAACAUGUCCCACAUACCCACAAUUUUUGGAUGAUCUUCCGUUCCCAAUGGGGGCGAUUCAGGUGUACAGGAAGGCUCUCUUCGUCAAUUUUAUGGCCAAGUGGCAGUAUGACGGCAAGCAGAUCUUUUGCCAAGUGCUCAACAACACUGACAAGUAUCUGAGGAAAGGCUACACUUUCGAUAUAAAAUACAGUACCAGAAAUACAAGUUUAAUGUUAUCAAACACCACUUCCGUCAUAGAAGGAAAAAACAUGACUCUAAUCUGCGCCACCCAAGGAAAUCCCACCCCCACGUUCACAUGGUUCAAAAAUGACAAAGUGCUACCAGUAGUGGGACCCGAGUGGACAAUCCCUUCCGUCACCACCGAGCAGAACGGGAAGUACAAAUGUGUUGCGACAAACUACUACGGUACUUCAGAGUCCACACUCGACAUUGACGUCAAAUACCCUCCGACGGUUGAAGUCGAGCAUUCCCGGUCCACAUUCAGGCAGGGAGAGGUCAUGACGCUGACGUGCAAUGUGAUGAGUAGCAACCCCGAGCCCAGUGACUUCAUUUGGUACAAAGACGACAAACAUGUGGCAUCCAAUCAAGUGUUCACGGUCUUGUCGGUGCAGCCCGAGCACAUGGGUUGGUACAAGUGCGUGGCCUACAACGAUGCGGGCAAUGGAGCGUCGGACCUUCUGAUUGAAGUGGAAUACCGGCCGAGGAAUACCACCGUUUCUAUCGUGGGUUCCGGUAGCCCCUUGGUCGAAGCGGGCGCGUCCAUUACGUUGCAGUGCAUCACAGACGCCAACCCCGUGCCCGACAAGUAUGCCUGGUUGGCAGACGAGUGCAACCAAUCGUCGGCGUGUCUGUCUGAGAACAUUGGUGACCGCCUGUUGGUGAAUGACGUUCAGCCAGGCAACCAUGUCUGCUACACGUGCAACGCCACCAACAAAGUGGAUGCUGGCGAAAACAGUGAACCGCUGUGCAUCCAAGUCCUGGAUGGUCCGACAAACCUGGUACUUUCAAUGACCACCGAGGUCACUGAAGGUGAGCUGGUCUCCAUGCUCUGCUCGGUGGAAAGCGUCCCACCCUCCGCCCUCAACUUGACCUGGACUUCCAGCGACCAGUCCAUGCGGGUGGUCACUAGGUCCAAUGACAACAACACGCUGUUCCACAGCUUCAAAGCCACCUGCGCAAACGGGGGCGUUUACACCUGCGAGGCCAUCAACAGCCAAGGAAGACAGAGCACGCAAAAGACUUUGGAUGUCAGAUAUGCUCCCAAAGAUGUGGUGGUAAAAGCUCACCCGUCUCUGGAGGUGACCGAAAACACGCCGUUGAAGCUGGAGUGCGUCGCCGACUCGAACCCGUCCAUCAAGUCGGUGAUGUGGUGGAAAGCGACUGACUCCACGAGCGACAACUUGGCAGAGAGCCGAACCUUAACCAUCACGUCCCUCACGGUCGCUGACGCCGGCUUCUAUGGCUGCACGGUCACCAAUGAAGUGGGCUCGGCGAGGUCAGCCAAAGUGGAGGUCAAGGUUCAGAAUGCUCCCAUAGUCAGAGGUAACCAGGACACCAAAGAACGGUUGCUGAACUACAUCAUCCCUCCUGUUUGUGUGCUCUUGUUCGUGGCACUUGUUGUGUUCAUCUACAGUGAUACUAUAAGGACUGUGCAUGACAGGAAAAGGAAAUGCAUGAGGGCAAGAUGUCAGGACACGCAGGUCUUGAACAUUAUUGACACGGUCCGGACCAGCGAGUCGAGGGCCAGUAACAUGGGUAAGAAACCCAUUUGUAAUGUCGAGCUGCUCUCUGCUGGAAAGGUGAGUCAUUUACCAUCCAGACGUUUGGAUAUAGAAGUCAAAUAAAAGCAAAAUUGUUCAGUUCCUGCUUCCACUUUUUCACACAUAAAAGGAAAUUUAACUGCUGUCACUAAUUUUAACUCUUCAGUGACAGCCAUUUUCAGAAAAUACGACCCCAUAGUACCAGCCAUUUUUGAGGUUUUUUGACCGAUCUUUCCAGGCAUACAGGAUAUCUAUGGUUAUGUACAUCCAAAUUAUACCAAAUUAAAGAAUGGACUCUUCACCAGGAAAACAAGCGUGAUCCUACCUUUUUCCAUUUUUUAGUUCAUGUCCAGUGAAAAAUUUUUUGGUCAUGUCCAGUGUUGCCACAGCUACCUUGAAAAAGGCACUUAGUUACUUUACUGAUUGAGCUUGAUUGAGCUUAAAAGUAACUUCGUUACUUUACUUAUUACUUGAUUUCUAAAGUAACUAAGUUAGAAAAAAGAACUUUUUAGUGACUUUCAGCAGCUGUCAAGUGGCAGGAAUAUCACUUAUCCACAGUACAAAAAAAGCAUUGCGUUAACCGUAACCCUGACUUGGUAAUGUAUGGGACAAGUUACAGGAGGAUACAAUAACUUAAAUAUUAGUGUUGAAGUCACAAUAAAUCAGCAACUUAGUGCAGACUUGAGACAUGAAAACAGAAUACAGUUAAGUAACUAAACGUAAAAACAACACCAUUCUCGGUACACUGCGGAUUGUGGUCUAAAGCCAACUAUGUGCGUGCGUGUACGUAAACGUGAGAGGAAGACCAUUGCUCCCAUUUUGAUGCGAAGACCGAGAAAACAUUUGUUCUUACUACGUGACGUCAGCCGUGCAGCGCGUUCAACCAGCUCACAGACGAAGUUGAGAUUUCUCACUUUUCACUGUCAAUAUUAUUCAAGCUAAGUAUUGGAAGUUCUUCAGUGAGUCAGUCCUUACCCUCCAUGACCGAUGGAUGUUCGCACACUUGGUAUGAAUAAUUAACCCUCAAUGUAUUCACAUUUAACACCAGAUAAAAUUUCUUAGUGUGUAAAUAAAGUAACAAUGAAAUAGUUUAUACUAGUCAAAAUAACAAAAAUAGUGUGGCGACAGUGAAAUCGUUCAUUUCCUUUUAUGGUACUACACGCACUGUGCAUUGUGUAAUAAACAAUCGCUUCCCAAUCGCUUUCUUCCAUUUGUAGAAAAGAACGGUGUCGGUUAAAUGCUGCUGCCCAGUUGAAAGCUUUGUUCAAAUAACAAACUACAAAUGAAUAUUUAGUGAGACAUUGACGAUGCGAAAGUAACUACUGAUGGUUUGAAGUAACUGUAGUCUGACGACUUUCCCGGGGAAAGUAACGUGUUUCUUCGCUUGUUUCUCAAAAUGGCGGAUUUCUGGAGUAACGCUUUACCGGCAUCACUGGUCAUGUCUCAGAGAAAAUGGAGCUAAUUAGCUUUUUGUGAAAAGCAGCAUUUAUGCAACAGAAACCUCGAUAGCAAGAUAAUCAUGUACUUAGCUAUAUAAUGUGCUGUGAGUGACGAGAACUCACCGGAAUGCACGUCAGUCAUGACGCUUCAUGUUGUUUCGUGGCUGUUGACUUGGUCCUUGUCAUACAAGACCUCAAUUGUACAUAUAUAUAAAGAUGAUUCUGAUAUAUCUGAUACAAACACACAAUUGUUACAAUACAGACACUGCGAAUACUAUACAUAGUUUUGUUUUCGAGUGUAAAAAAUGCUUCAGCUUGUCCAUCUUCAGCCUGUACGUGCCGCCAUUUUUGGCCCGCAAACACUGCUGUGUGCACACGAUCAAGGCUGAGAGGGUUGGUUGUCAAAUGUAAAAUGGUGCAACGCUGCCCUCUGCUGGUGGUUUUCAGUAGGAAGUGAAGAAUUACAUCGCACUCUCCUGCUGCCAAUCCCGUGAAAAAAACGUAUUUGAAAACUCGUCAACGGUAGGGAAUAUAUUGAUUCUACUUGACGAGUUAAUUCGGGCCGACAGGUGAGAGCGUCUGCCUCACGGUUCAAUCCCCGGCCCCACCUGUGUGGAGUUUGCAUGUUCUCCCCGUGCCUGCGUGGGUUUUCUCCGGGCACUCUGGUUUCUCCCACAUCCCAAAAACGUGUGGUAGGUUUAUUGAAGACACUAAAUUGCCCGUAGGUGUGAAUGUGAGUGCGAAUGGAUGUUUAUGUGUGCCCUGCGAUUGGCAGGGUGUAGGGUGUAGCCCGCCUCCUGCCCAAUGAUAGCUGGGAUAGGCUCCAGCACGCCCGCGACCCUUGUGAGGAGAAGCGGCUCAGGAUGGAUGGAUGGAUGGAUGGAUGAAAGAAAUAUCACACAGCCACAUUUCUUCUGAUCAUCCUUAAAAUGGUUCUUCAUUCAUUGGAGUCCAGCUGUGUUUGAUUAGACUGAUUGGACUUGAUUAGGAAAGCCACACACCUGUCUAUAUAAGACCUAACAGCUCAGUGCAUGUCAGAGCAAAUGUCAAUCAUGAGGUCAAAGGAACUGCCUGAAGAGCUCAGAGACAGAAUUGUGGCAAGGCACAGAUCUGGCCAGAGUUAGAAAAAAAAAUCUGUUGCACUUAAGGUUCCUAAGAGCACAGUGGCCUCCAUAAUCCUUAAAUGGAAGACGUUUGGGAGGACCAGACCCCUUCCUAGAGCUGGCCAAACUGAGCAAUCGGGGGAGAAGAGCCUUGGUGUGAGGGGUAAAGAAGAACCCAAAGAUCACUGUGGCAGAGCUCGAGAUGCAGUCGGGAGAUGGGAGAAGGUUCUCGAAAGUCAACCAUCACUGCAGCCCUCCACCAGUCUGGGCUUUAUGGCAGAUUAGACAGACGGAAGCCUCUUCUCUGGUCUGAUGUGACCAAGAUAGAACUUUUUGGCCUCCAAGAUAGAACUUUUUGGCCUUAAUUCUAAGCGGUAUGUGUGGAGAAAACCAGGCACGGCUCAUCACCCGUCCAAUACAGUCCCAUCAGUGAAGCAUGGUGGUGGCAGCAUCAUGCUGUGGGGGUGUUUUUCAGCUGCAGGGGCAGGACGACUGGUUGCAAUUGAAGGAAAGAUGAAUGCGGCCACGUACAGGGAUAUCCUGAACGAAAACCUUCUCCAGAGUGCAGGACCUCCGACUGGGCCGAUGGUUCACCUUCCAACGACAAUGACUCUAAGCACACAGCUGAAAUGCCGAAGGAGUGGCUUUAGAACAACUACGUGACGACUUAGAUGGCCCAGCCAGAGCCCAGACUUAAACCCAACUGAGAAUCUCUGGAGAGACCUGAAAAUGACUGUGCACCAACGUUCACCAUCCAACCUGACAGAACUGACUUAGAUGGCCCAGCCAGAGCCCAGACUUAAACCCAACUGAGAAUCUCUGCAGACCUGAAAAUGACUGUGCACCAACGUUCACCAUCCAACCUGACAGAACUGACUUAGAUGGCCCAGCCAGAGCCCAGACUUAAACCCAACUGAGAAUCUCUGGAGAGACCUGAAAAUGACUGUGCACCAACGUUCACCAUCCAACCUGACAGAACUGAAGAGGAUCUGCAAGGCACCAUCCAACCUGACAGAACUGAAGAGGAUCUGCAAGGAGGAAUGGCAGAGGUUCCCCAAAUCCAGGAUCGAUCAGCGGCCAAAGUGGUUCAGGAUGGAACCCCCAAGGAUGACGCUGUCCAUGAUGCUUU